AGAUUGAACGCUAGCGGCAUGCCUAGCACAUGCAAGUCGAACGGUAACAGGCCCUUCGGGGUGCUGACGAGUGGCGGACGGGUGAGUAAUGCGUAGGAAUCUACCCACGAGUGGGGGAUAGCCCGGAGAAAUCCGGAUUAAUACCGCAUAUGCCCUACGGGGUAAAGCGGGGGAUCGUAAGACCUCGCGCUGGUGGAUGAGCCUACGUCCGAUUAGUUAGUUGGUAGGGUAAAGGCCUACCAAGGCUACGACGGGUCGCUGGUCUGAGAGGACGACCAGCCACACUGGCACUGAGAUACGGGCCAGACUCCUACGGGAGGCAGC
RNAcentral lists this ribosomal RNA (324 nucleotides) under uncultured prokaryote. RNAcentral's name for it is "bacterial SSU rRNA". It matches the Rfam family "Bacterial small subunit ribosomal RNA", at positions 26 to 352 of the family's 1533-position model. The record is from RNAcentral.